UGGGGAAUAUUGGACAAUGGACCAAGAGUCUGAUCCAGCAAUUCUGUGUGCACGAUGAAGUUUUUCGGAAUGUAAAGUGCUUUCAGUUGGGAAGAAAAAAAUGACGGUACCAACAGAAGAAGUGACGGCUAAAUACGUGCCAGCAGCCGCGGUAAUACGUAUGUCACAAGCGUUAUCCGGAUUUAUUGGGCGUAAAGCGCGUCUAGGUGGUUAUGUAAGUCUGAUGUGAAAAUGCAGGGCUCAACUCUGUAUUGCGUUGGAAACUGUAUAACUAGAGUACUGGAGAGGUAAGCGGAACUACAAGUGUAGAGGUGAAAUUCGUAGAUAUUUGUAGGAAUGCCGAUGGGGAAGCCAGCUUACUGGACAGAUACUGACGCUGAAGCGCGAAAGCGUGGGUAGCAAACAGGAUUAGAUACCCUGGUAGUCCACGCCGUAAACGAUGAUUACUAGGUGUUGGGGGUCGAACCUCAGCGCCCAAGCAAACGCAAUAAGUAAUCCGCCUGGGGAGUACGUACGCAAGUAUG
This 524-nucleotide ribosomal RNA is filed under the name uncultured bacterium. Its description in RNAcentral is "bacterial SSU rRNA". It matches the Rfam family "Bacterial small subunit ribosomal RNA", at positions 355 to 896 of the family's 1533-position model. The record is from RNAcentral.